Molecule: ribosomal RNA, 388 nt
Filed under: uncultured bacterium
Lineage: Bacteria
Description: partial 16S ribosomal RNA
Rfam family: Bacterial small subunit ribosomal RNA
Source: RNAcentral
CCUACGGGUGGCAGCAGUGAGGAAUCUUGGUCAAUGGCCGUAAGGCUGAACCAGCCAAGUAGCGUGAGGGAAGACUGCCCUAUGGGUUGUAAACCUCUUUUAUACGGGGGUAAGGGUGUCCACGUAUGGAUGUUUGCAGGUACCGCAUGAAUAAGGACCGGCUAAUUCCGUGCCAGCCGCCGCGGUAAUACGGAAGGUCGGGGCGUUAUCCGGAUUUAUUGGGUUUAAAGGGAGCGUAGGCCGGCCUUUAAGCGUGCCGUGAAAUUUUGGGGCUCAACCAUGAGAGUGCGGCGAGAACUGGAGACCUUGAGUGCGCGGAAGGCAGGCGGAAUUCGUGGGGUAGCGGUGAAAGGAUUAGAUAUCACGAAGAACCCCGAUGGCGAAGGCA